RNAcentral lists this ribosomal RNA (181 nucleotides) under uncultured Bacillus sp. Its description in RNAcentral is "partial 16S ribosomal RNA". It matches the Rfam family "Bacterial small subunit ribosomal RNA", at positions 1202 to 1382 of the family's 1533-position model. Lineage: Bacteria; Bacillati; Bacillota; Bacilli; Caryophanales; Bacillaceae. The record is from RNAcentral.
UUAUGUUCUGGGCUACACACGUGCUACAAUGGCCGGUACAGACGGACGCAAAGCCGCGAGGUGGAGCAAAUCCUAAAAAGCCGGUCUCAGUUCGGAUUGCAGGCUGCAAUUCGCCUGCAUGAAGUCGGAAUCGCUAGUAAUCGCAGGUCAGCAUACUGCGGUGAAUACGUUCCCGGGCCUU